This 460-nucleotide ribosomal RNA is filed under the name uncultured bacterium. RNAcentral describes it as "partial 16S ribosomal RNA". It matches the Rfam family "Bacterial small subunit ribosomal RNA", at positions 338 to 795 of the family's 1533-position model. The record is from RNAcentral.
CCUACGGGUGGCAGCAGUGAGGAAUAUUGGUCAAUGGUCGGGAGACUGAACCAGCCAAGCCGCGUGAGGGAUGAAGGUACAGAGUAUCGUAAACCUCUUUUGUCAGGGAACAAAGGCGGGGACGUGUCCCCGGAUGAGUGUACCUGAAGAAAAAGCAUCGGCUAACUCCGUGCCAGCAGCCGCGGUAAUACGGAGGAUGCGAGCGUUAAUCGGAAUUACUGGGCGGAAAGCGGUCGUAGGCGGGAUGUCAAGUCAAGGGUGAAAUCCCCGCGCUCAACGUGGGACCUGCCGUGGAAACUGGCAAACUGGAGUGUGAUAGAGGAUAGUGGAAUUCCAGGUGUAGGAGUGAAAUCCGUAGAUAUCUGGAGGAACAUCAGUGGCGAAGGCAACUAACUGGAACAUAACUGACGCUGAGGAGCGAAAGCGUGGGUAGCAAACAGGAUUAGAUACCCUAGUAGUC